GCCAAACUAGCAGAUUACAAUAAUAAUGGCUGUUUCCUUCAAUUAGAGUAAGUUUUGUUUUUUCUAAAAGCUUUACUUUGCCAUCAUUUUAAAUGCACGGCAUUAUUUUUUUAUGUAAGGUUAAUUUUCUGGUGUUUCAUGGAACAGCAGAUUGCUGUGGUAGAUUUAGUAGUUGAAAGAUGGCAUAAAAAUUGAAUCUUUUUGCAUUUACUACUCUCGUAAUAAUUCGAAAAGGGUUUUUUGAUCAUUCAGUAAGAAAUCGGGCAACUGUAGUUAUUGUGAAGAAACGCUAUAUAUUAGUCAUUUAUAGAUAUUAAAGUGUUUGGUUGUGUUUUCUUGAUGGGUUUUUAUGUAGCCAUAAGUGUGAAUUGAAUUCUUCAAUUGUAUCUCUGAUUCUAAGAGUUUGUUCGAUUUGAUAAAUAUCGUGAGCGAUAAAAAGUAGAGUGAGUAAUUAAUUGGUGAGCUGAAAUUUGGGGGUUGGUUUUAGAUAUUAAUAACUGACUUAAGUAAAGCUUUCUUGCUUUUGGUUGUUAGUUGAUGAAUGGAGUCAGAAUGAUCAAUGUUGAUUGAAACACCAAUUCAUUACUAAUUAAGGCAGGUUUAUCAUCAAGUCAAGAGGGGUAAAUAUUUGUUGAAGGGUUUUUAUCUUUUCUACCUUCCUCUUGUGGUUUGGUGGUGUGGUAAUCGAGUCAUAAAGAAUGAUAUUGGUAAUCUUGUAUGCUAGUGUGUAAUGUGUAGUAAUGGAGUUGAUUGGUUAAAACUUGCUAUAGAUGUUGGGAUGAAGUUGGAAAACCAUUACAUAAUGACUUGUUUUCUUGCAGCUAGUACUAAUGUUGUGAACUGUAGCUGAUAACUAAGAUAAGAUGAUGUUGAUAAGUGUUGAAGGAAAUAUUUUGCUCCAAUUAAGGAGCACUAUGAGAUUUCUGCCUUCGAAAAUAUAGAUGAGCUUCACCAGUCAUUGCUUUGUUUAGUCCCUCGUGAUCCUGUAUAAUGGCCUAUGAGUAUGAAUUUGGAGAUAAGAUGUUGAUGCUUAUGAGAUUUGUGCAUGAUGGGAUGAUUGAAGAAGAUACACCUGAAUCAUGCUGAUCCAAAACCUAGUACCAUGAUGCUGGACUAAGAACAUGCCCAAUCUCGUUUUCUUUCUCGUUCUAUUCGAGUGGUUCUCGUUUUACCAUUUCUUCUUGUCAAUAGAGUUUUUCAUGUAUUUGGAGCACUAGUGAUGAUUAGUGAGACAAAAAGACUGCAGCAUGGACAUGAUCAGCAGAGGUUCUGUUCACAACAGUAUGUGAUUGCUGACUUCUCUCAACAUUUAUUUGCAGCAUUCAACUGUCAUUUGAAUCAAAUGAAGGAAUAAUGAUAUUGAUAUCAUCAAUGAACUGCUGCUAAAUAUAGUUUCACUCAUCCAUUUUUCGUCUCGAAUUCCAUUCUAAAGAGAAAAUACGCAUUGUUUAGCUACACAAUUCUGAUUUCUUUGACAGAUUCAUCUCAGUCGAAAUAGUUUCAUAUACAUUCC
This 1513-nucleotide long non-coding RNA is filed under the name Salvia miltiorrhiza (redroot sage). RNAcentral's name for it is "long non-coding RNA (SMIL_LNC000799)". Lineage: Eukaryota; Viridiplantae; Streptophyta; Magnoliopsida; Lamiales; Lamiaceae. The record is from RNAcentral.